CUAAAUCUUUUGUAUUCAUUUCACAAGAUAUGUAGCUCAAACCAUCAUGUUGUAUCUCCUAAACAUAUACAGUGAUAUAUAUCAAUUAUUUUUCAAUAAAACUGGAAAAAAUUUAAAAAAUCAAUGCUUGUUUUUUUGUUGUUGAGUUUUAGGAGCUCUCUGUGUAUUUGGGAUAUUAAUUACUUAGCAGAUGUAUUACUUGCAAAUAUUACUCCCUUCUGUAGGUUGCCUUUUUUAUCUGUUUUUAUUAGUUUAUAGGUAUUUUCUAAUUUCCCUUAUAAUUUCUUCUUUUAUCCAUUAGUUAUUUGAAAGUGUUUUUUUAACACCUACACAUUUGUGAAUUUUUCAGUUUUCCUGAAACAGUUGUGUCUGUUAGAUAUAGCUGGUUUAUUGUGUUGCUCAAGAACUCUAUUUCCUUACUUACCUUCUAGCCAUGAUUAAGAGCUGAGUAUUGAAGUCUCCCACUAUUAAUAUAAAACUGUCUAUUUCUCCCUGUAGUUCUAUCAACUUUUGGUUUAUAUAUUUUGAGGGUCUGUGCAUAAAUGUUUAUUAUUGUUAUAUAUUCUUACAUUUUUGAAUCUUUAUUUGUAUAUCUUUUGCUGUUUGUGUUCAAUAUGCCAUGUAGAUUUUUCGUACCUCGUUUCUUGCAUUACUAUUUACUUUUGUGUUUAGUUUUUUGUAGUGUAAUGUUUUAAUUUCAUUCUCAUUUUCUCUAUAACUAUUCACUUUGUGGUUACCAUUUUACAUCCUAGUUAUAACACUCCAAUUGAAUUUAUGCUAUCUUAAUGACAAUAACAGAAAAUUAUAUGACGUUACAGUAAUUUGCAGCUCCAGAAUUUCAUUUGGAUUUCUUUUCAUAUUUUCUGUCUUUUUAUUAAUAUUUGCAUUUUGUUUGUACAUUGCUUUCUUGACUUUUUCCAUGUCAUCCACUAGUCCUUCAGGCAUCUUUAAGCCUUUGCUAUUUUUUAGAUGUGGGGUUUGAGGGUAUUCACACUACUUAAGUCAGUUUUCUUUAUCUGUAAAAUGAGGAUUAUACAUUUAUCCUCAUUGGGCUAUUUUUGAACAUGUAGGAGUUCCAGGAGAUAAUUGCUUGGAUUAUUGAUGAAUAUUUAAAUGUAUGUCUGUGCACGAAUUACCGUAUCUUGAUCUUUUUUAAGAUGAUGUUACUGAUGAGGAUCAGAAUCCAGUAGGAUACAUUGAACCAAAGAGGUGAUUGUCCAUAAUUUUUUCUGACUAACACCACAUUCACAUACACUCUUGCUGUGCCUAAAAAAGUCUAGAUUUUCAGAUCUUUCUACAAGACAUGAUCUCCUGAGAAUUCAUCUUCAAACAAAACUUUCAAGUUGCUACUUGGUGACACAGUCUUCUAAAUGUGUGCUCUGUAUCAAAACGUGGCCAGUGUUAGCCAGAACAGUAAGAGCUAAGUUCUGUUCUCCUUUUGUUCGACCAAACAGUGUCCCAAGCAAGUUAACUAUAGUAGAAAGAUCAGGAGUAUCCAAUCUCUAAAUGACAAAUGCAUUAUUCCCUUGACUUUUAUGUGUAUAAACCAUCUGUCAAAUUGAAUUGUGUGGGCACUUGCCAUUGUGCCCGUCAUCAUGAGUUGCUUACUUGUGUAGAAUUAUUAGAAUGUAAUUUUAUGUUUAUGAAAUUUUGGCCUUUCUGGAGAGUCUCAUAUCGAGGACCCAGUUGAGAUGAGGAGGUAACAAGGAAGGCAUUUUAAAUGGUACAGAAGAAGCCACAAUGAUCAAAAUAAGUGCAAAGUAAGUUACACCAAUAGUUGUUUUUUUAGUGCUUGAAAGAGUAGCAGUGACCUCACUUUAAAAACCCAAAGGCGAAAGAUAUGUAAACAUGAAAUAUAUAUGUUUAUUAUUACACACAUUUUCCUCCUUGUUAUCCUCCAACUGUAAGAGGUUGUAAUGCAUAGGCUUUCCUGGCAUAAGACAGCUGUUGGAUAUGUCUCAGUGUGGAGUGCUAUUUUACAGUCGCUAGCAAGAAUAUUAGAACCAACCUUUUUUUCUCUAAAUGCUUCUUGGGAAAGGUACAUUAAUUAAGACAGUGGCCAAACUAGUUCUAUAAGACUGCAGUAUUUUGUCUUUAAAAAAUCAGAUAUUAAAAAAAAUUAUGUAAUGUAUAUUAUGAAUAUAAAAUAAGGUAAUGUAUAGUCUAGUAUACAAUGUAAAGUUAUAUAAUGUAAAUAAUGGCUAAAAAUCUGAAAAAGUAAAUAUAAAAUGAAUUGAUAUGAAGUUGAACAAAUAUCACAAUCAACAUACUUUUUCUACCCUUACUCUUCUGAAAUACUUAAUUUUAUUAAUUAAAAAUGCACUAUUUUACAGAGUUCAUAGGAAACAUUAUUUUCCAUAAUUUGAAGUAUUAUUUUUUUUCUUUAUUUGGCUGUGCCUGUGGCAUGUGGAAGUUCCCGGCCAGAAGUAGCAGCAAAUUGAGCCCUUGCAGUGACAGCACUGGAUCCUUACCCCAUUUAACCACAAGGGAACUCCUGAAAUAUGUAUUUUUAAAGUACAAGGUAUUGCAGUAUUUAUAAUUCACUUCAUUUUAAAAACAAUUUGUGGCACCUUACAGAACAAAUAAUACAACAUAAAGAAAAAAUAAGGACAUUAGGAAGAAGGAAAAAUAACGGUAGAAGAAUUAAGUGAAAUAAAGGGCAAGGUUACUGCAUGUAUCUGCCUGCAAACAUCCCAUAGACCAAAACAAAGAAUAAAACAUAGUCAAUUGCAAAAGUCAAUGUCGAUGGAAUUAAAAUAUGACAAUGGAUCCAUAGAAUAACUUUCCUGGGUUUUGAGGCUAUAGAUGUGUCACUGAGUGGAGUAAAGUUUUCACAUUGAAUACCAUUUUUAUGAAAGCACCACAGUACAUUAUAAGAUUUCAGACUUGUCUCAUAAUAAUCCUUAACCUAUCAAAGUAUAAUAGAUUAAAACUAAUUCCAUGAGGAGAUCCAAAUAAGAGUAAUUAGACAGCUGCAUGGUGGUCCAUCUUAGUCAAAAGAAGAAAUAGAAUUAGAAUUCAGAAGAUGAAAGGUGGGGAGUGUGAAUUAAUAGCAAAAUUACUUUUUUGAAUAAAACCUUGCAAGUGUUCUUUGUUUCUUGCAGCCAAAAGAUCCUAACUGGCAAAAUCAUGAAGGCAGACAUUAUAUUUUAGUAGUGAUCAUAUAAGAAUAACUUGAAUAUUUAUUAUAGCUACAUUUAGUGAUGAGGCAUGAUAACAAUGCCUUUUUCAAUUAAAACAAAAGUCUCAUUAUCAACAAACUACUCUUUUAAGGUAUCUUAUGGCUAGGUUUUUUUCUUUAAACAAAAUUUAUUUAUUUAUUUAUUUUUCUUAUUUUCAAUGUCUGUCCCUAACCAUUUGUUAUGCUUAUUGAUAAAAGUACUU
Molecule: long non-coding RNA, 3384 nt
Filed under: Sus scrofa (pig)
Lineage: Eukaryota; Metazoa; Chordata; Mammalia; Artiodactyla; Suidae
Description: lncRNA (ENSSSCG00000056912.1)
Source: RNAcentral